This 834-nucleotide ribosomal RNA is filed under the name Phacidiales sp. Its description in RNAcentral is "partial large subunit ribosomal RNA". It matches the Rfam family "Eukaryotic large subunit ribosomal RNA", at positions 73 to 925 of the family's 3401-position model. The record is from RNAcentral. Lineage: Eukaryota; Fungi; Ascomycota; Leotiomycetes; Phacidiales.
GAUUGCCUCAGUAACGGCGAGUGAAGCGGCAACAGCUCAAAUUUGAAAUCUGGCUCUUUCAGGGUCCGAGUUGUAAUUUGUAGAGGAUGCUUCGGGUGUGGCUCCGGUCUAAGUUCCUUGGAACAGGACGUCAUAGAGGGUGAGAAUCCCGUAUGUGACUGGUUGCCUAUGCUCAUGUGAAGCUCCUUCGACGAGUCGAGUUGUUUGGGAAUGCAGCUCAAAAUGGGUGGUAAAUUUCAUCUAAAGCUAAAUAUUGGCCAGAGACCGAUAGCGCACAAGUAGAGUGAUCGAAAGAUGAAAAGCACUUUGGAAAGAGAGUUAAACAGUACGUGAAAUUGUUGAAAGGGAAGCGCUUGCAACCAGACUUGCACGUAGUUAAUCAACCGGUGUUCUCACUGGUGCACUUGAUUACGUUCAGGCCAGCAUCGGUUUCGGUGGUUGGAUAAAGGCCGGGGGAAUGUGGCUUCUUUCGGGGAGUGUUAUAGCCCUCGGUGCAAUGCAGCCUACCGGGACCGAGGACCGCGCUUCGGCUAGGAUGCUGGCGUAAUGGUUGUAAGCGACCCGUCUUGAAACACGGACCAAGGAGUCUAACAUCUAUGCGAGUGUUUGGGUGUUAAACCCAUACGCGUAAUGAAAGUGAACGGAGGUGAGAACCCUUAAGGGUGCAUCAUCGACCGAUCCUGAUGUCUUCGGAUGGAUUUGAGUAAGAGCAUAGCUGUUGGGACCCGAAAGAUGGUGAACUAUGCCUGAAUAGGGUGAAGCCAGAGGAAACUCUGGUGGAGGCUCGCAGCGGUUCUGACGUGCAAAUCGAUCGUCAAAUUUGGGUAUAGGGCG